AUUGAACGCUGGCGGCAUGCUUUACACAUGCAAGUCGAACGGCAGCACGAAAUAGCUUGCUCUUUUGGUGGCGAGUGGCGAACGGGUGUGUAAUGCAUCGGAACGUACCGAGUAAUGGGGGAUAACUGUCCGAAAGGAUAGCUAAUACCGCAUACGCUUUGAGACGGAAAGUGGGGGCUCUUCGGACCUCACGUUAUUCGAGCGGCCGAUGUCUGAUUAGCUAGUUGGUGGGGUAAAGGCCUACCAAGGCGACGAUCAGUAGCGGGUCUGAGAGGAUGAUCGGCCACACUGGGACUGAGAAACGGCCCAGACUCCUACGGGAGGCAGCAGUGGGGAAUUUUGGACAAUGGGCGCAAGCCUGAUCCAGCCAUGCCGCGUGUCUGAAGAAGGCCUUCGGGUUGUAAAGGACUUUUGUUAGGGAAGAAAAGGAUAGUGUUAAUACCAUUAUCUGCUGACGGUACCUAAAGAAUAAGCACCGGCUAACUACGUG
Molecule: ribosomal RNA, 490 nt
Filed under: uncultured bacterium
Lineage: Bacteria
Description: partial 16S ribosomal RNA
Rfam family: Bacterial small subunit ribosomal RNA
Source: RNAcentral